RNAcentral lists this non-coding RNA (66 nucleotides) under Janibacter indicus. Lineage: Bacteria; Bacillati; Actinomycetota; Actinomycetes; Micrococcales; Intrasporangiaceae. The record is from RNAcentral.
CAGAGGUCCGGCGAUCGGCCUGCGGACGAGGGAGCCGUACCCGCACCACGACACGACGGACUCAUC